Molecule: ribosomal RNA, 432 nt
Filed under: uncultured bacterium
Lineage: Bacteria
Description: partial 16S ribosomal RNA
Rfam family: Bacterial small subunit ribosomal RNA
Source: RNAcentral
AACGAACGCUGGCGGCAUGCCUAACACAUGCAAGUCGAACGAGACCUUCGGGUCUAGUGGCGCACGGGUGCGUAACGCGUGGGAACCUGCCCUUAGGUUCGGAAUAACUCCCCGAAAGGGGUGCUAAUACCGGAUAAUGUCUUCGGACCAAAGAUUUAUCGCCUUUGGAUGGGCCCGCGUUGGAUUAGCUAGUUGGUAGGGUAAAAGCCUACCAAGGCGACGAUCCAUAGCUGGUCUGAGAGGAUGAUCAGCCACACUGGGACUGAGACACGGCCCAGACUCCUCCGGGGGGGAGCGGGGGGGAAUAUUGGACAAUGGGCGAAAGCCUGAUCCAGCAAUGCCGGGGGGGUGAUGAAGGCCUUGGGGUGGUAAAGCUCUUUUACCCGGGAUGAUAAUGACAGUACGGGGAAAAUAAGCCCCGGCUAACUCCGG